GCUGCUACUGCCUGGGACACCUGUGGAAACUACUCAGCCAUUCUGACGCACGCACGGUGUGGAAGUAUGAAGGCAUUAACAUCACCUGGGAAAUCAGCAGCAGACAAUUCCCCCUGGGGCUACUCUGAACAUGUUCAACAAGAUGGACCUGCCAAUACAUGGAAUGAAAAAUGUCAGACUGACCCUCCAGUUGGAAUCAAUCUGUUCCUUUCAACUUUGAAGUUUGAAGAUUUGUUUGUCAUUUUCACUCACUCUGCAGGGUGACCAGCAGUUAAAACAGGACUGUCUCAGUUUUGCAACUCAGAGGCCCAUGUCCCAGGAAUCUCCUCGGGCACAGGAGGAUCCAUAACUCCUCGAUUUAUUAUAAUGGGAUGUGUUUACUUGGUAGAGAUCUGAAUGUGACAAUCUGAAAUGGAUAUUUAAUAUGGACCUAAUUGCGCCACAGACUUUUGUGUAAAAUCCAUAAAAAUGAAUAUCUAGGCUUCCAUACCUUAACUAGAAAUAGAAUUCACUAGAACCUUCAUAUCAUAAACCAGGAGAUCUAAAAAUGAACUUCAUCCAGUCUGGCUGGAACUAAUGGGAUUUUAAUUCCUUGAAGCACAAGAUGCCCCGAGAUGGCAAAGCUACUUAGUGCUCCUUCUAUUGUAUUUGACCUCAAGUCUGACCAUCGCCAAGAUACCCACUCUCCAAUAACCUCCAAGCUCUCUUUGCCUUGGAUCUCCUUGUUCUAACUCCAAGAAUCUACUGACUUCACUGGCUGCUAAAGCUCUGAAAGGUUCCUCUUAAUAACAACAGGGCAGGAGUGACUACAGCCAGAGCAACGCCACAGAAGACAGGAAACCAACUGCCUUCUGGCCUUCCACUGGCUCUGUAACUCUGGUUCCAUCACUAGCACAAUCUGAGCUUUGUUUUCCCAUCUCUAAGUUAGCAAGAGUAAUUACCUUCGCGCAAACUUGUUAUGAGCUGCAAAUAAGGUAACAUGGGGAAGUAAUUUAUAAAUAGAGGACAUGAUAAAAAUUUUAGUUGUUUUUCUUAAUAAUUAACGAGUCCUGUGCAAGUGUGUAAGUAAAUAGCAAGGUCAGUUCCCUGGGCUUCUUGAGGAAACAGGAGGGCAGGCAAAUCUCAGUGUUCACAGGUAACAAGCAACUUCACUCAUCACAGCUUUCUACAUGUUUGUCAAGCUGAGCCAAGGCUUCUAAACGCUACUCACUGAUGGACUGACCUGCAGGUUUCAGCCAACCGCAGCUUUCCAACCACCACUGAAUAUCCGUAACAACCAGCAAUGAAGAUUUUGUUGAGUCCUCAGACGUUCAGGGGUGUCCCGCAGAUCUAAGUCACUCUCACUGAAACAAAUAGAGGUUCCAGCGAAGGGUGGCAAUCCCCUGGAGGAACAAGAAAAUUCCAUUUGUUCCAGGCCAUUUGAUACUGUCUAAGAGUGAUGUCACUGAAACUCAGAAGUGAAGGAAGUGCAGACUGUCUUCCUGACUCUCGGGAAAAGUUAAAUCCUCCAUAAAAGUACCAAAGGGCAGAGCCAACCUGGAAUUCUACAUCCUCCAGCAUCCUCAGUCUCUGAGGUAUAAAAAACAACUCCAUCUGAGGAAGCUUCCACAUCCAUUUGAUUCUCUUCACUCCCUCCCCCACUCACCCCCAUUGCAAUCAAAUGCUUCUCAAAUCAAUGGACUCCACUGUAAUCAAAUACUUUGGAAAUCAAUAGACUCCAUCGGAUUUUGAAUACAGAGACAAAGAGAACGUUCACCGUGGUCCCUCUCUGUGAUUCUAAGUGUCUGUGACUCUACUUCAGUCAAGAAAGGAAGAAGCUGUUUUCUGCUUCUUGUUUUGAAACACCUGAAAUAUGACCCUGUUUAAUCUUUCAAUCAAAAGGAACUAAAACUGGAAUCAAGGAUUCAGUCUGCUUCUGAGCGAAGAAUCAAGACUUCAGCAAACAGAAAAAUUGGUUUGACAUUGUUGAGAAUUCAGGAUACAUCCCUGUGUUAAGCAGCACCCUCAUUCAGUUCAGAAUCUUCCCCUGGCAGCACGGUGGCAGGGAUUGUUCACACGGGCUCACUGAAAGAAAAACAUUUACCGGUGCUGAAUUGAAAUCAGAACUUCUGUUCCCUAAGCUCCUGUGCUUCAGUAGGUACAGAGAAAGAGGCCAAGAGGGAAUAAAAAGAGAAAAAAUAUCUUAUACUUAAAAGAGUUAACAGUAUCCGUGUAGGUUGAGUGUCUGAAUAAAGCUAGAAGGGGAUAUACAAAUAGCAUCUCUCCUCACACGUAUAUUUGAAAGAAGUCAAAAGUCUAUUUCUUAAGUCUCUCAGAAUAAUUCUUCAAGAAUAAUCGUUCCACUAUCAUAUGUAAAGUAGGUAGUUGGUGGGAAGCUGCUGUGUA
Cervus elaphus (red deer) is the source of this 2385-nucleotide long non-coding RNA. RefSeq lists it as uncharacterized. The record is from RefSeq and is a predicted model, not a curated record. The transcript is spliced from 5 exons. Lineage: Eukaryota; Metazoa; Chordata; Mammalia; Artiodactyla; Cervidae.